AGCUUCAGGACACUGCCCGCAAGUCGGCCAAAGGUCUUCCCUAAAGUGCAUCCUUUUCCUGACCACAAAGGCUAUUCAUGUAAAUUGUAGAAAACGGAGCGAUUGUGUAGAAGUAGAAAGCAAAAUCUUUGCCCCACAAUCCCGAGGAUAUUGCCCGUGGCUGCCCUCCUCCAGACUCCUGAGGGAAGCUCCUAAAAGAAGUAUUUUUCAUUUGUGAAAAGCUGUUCUUGGCUACAGCAUAGGUGAUCCACAAGAGAAUCCAUGUAGGCUGAGCAGACAUGAGAGGCGGAGUACUGGCGCAGGACAGGAAUCCAGGGCUCCAGCUCCCAGGCCGUUCUGAACCACAACCACUAGGUGGCGCUAGCUGGACCCUGCAGGUACCUGACCAUGAACAACUUCCUAUCACCUGGCCACAGCAGGCUCAUAAUUACAUAAUCCUAUCUAAUAAAAGAGAAACAUG
Long non-coding RNA from Myotis daubentonii (Daubenton's bat), 460 nucleotides. RefSeq lists it as uncharacterized. Lineage: Eukaryota; Metazoa; Chordata; Mammalia; Chiroptera; Vespertilionidae. The record is from RefSeq and is a predicted model, not a curated record.